GUAGUCGUAUUUACAUCAAUCCACAUGUGUUGAGGUGGAUUGGAGUGGAACUUGAACUAAAUUUCAUCUCAAUCCACACCAACACACAUGGAUUGAAGUGAAUACAACA
This is a microRNA precursor of Sorghum bicolor (sorghum), 109 nucleotides long. It matches the Rfam family "MIR5565 microRNA precursor family". The record is from Rfam. NCBI's taxonomy places the organism in Eukaryota, Viridiplantae, Streptophyta, Magnoliopsida, Poales, Poaceae.